AAAGUAGAUUUGAGCCAGGAUGGCCUGCCAGCAUGCAUUUAUGGUGUUGCUAGCGGGACUUCCUGUCUCAUAUUUGCUCA
This is a microRNA precursor of Medicago truncatula (barrel medic), 80 nucleotides long. The record is from Rfam. Lineage: Eukaryota; Viridiplantae; Streptophyta; Magnoliopsida; Fabales; Fabaceae.